AGUGAACGCUGGCGGUAGGCCUAACACAUGCAAGUCGAACGGCAGCACAGUAAGAGCUUGCUCUUACGGGUGGCGAGUGGCGGACGGGUGAGGAAUACAUCGGAAUCUACUUUUUCGUGGGGGAUAACGUAGGGAAACUUACGCUAAUACCGCAUACGACCUACGGGUGAAAGCAGGGGAUCUUCGGACCUUGCGCGAUUGAAUGAGCCGAUGUCGGAUUAGCUAGUUGGCGGGGUAAAGGCCCACCAAGGCGACGAUCCGUAGCUGGUCUGAGAGGAUGAUCAGCUACACUGGAACUGAGACACGGUCCAGACUCCUACGGGAGGAAGCAGUGGGGAAUAUUGGACAAUGGGCGAAAGCCUGAUCCAGCCAUACCGCGUGAGUGAAGAAGGCCUUCGGGUUGUAAAGCCCUUUUGUUGGGAAAGAAAAGCAGCAGGUUAAUACCCCGCUGUUCUGACGGUACCCAAAGAAUAAGCACCGGCUAACUUCGUG
Molecule: ribosomal RNA, 492 nt
Filed under: uncultured bacterium
Lineage: Bacteria
Description: partial 16S ribosomal RNA
Rfam family: Bacterial small subunit ribosomal RNA
Source: RNAcentral